AUGCAAUGAUGAGCGAAGUAUCGCCUGACCUGGUAUGGCCGUCCCUCCUGUCGGCUUUGACCAGGGCGUGAUCACUCAAUCUUCUCUCUGAGCUA
Molecule: small nucleolar RNA, 95 nt
Organism: Phyllostomus discolor (pale spear-nosed bat)
Lineage: Eukaryota; Metazoa; Chordata; Mammalia; Chiroptera; Phyllostomidae
Product: Z30 small nucleolar RNA
Exons: 1
Source: RefSeq, a predicted model, not a curated record